Molecule: transfer RNA, 73 nt
Filed under: Entomortierella parvispora
Lineage: Eukaryota; Fungi; Mortierellomycota; Mortierellomycetes; Mortierellales; Mortierellaceae
Description: Mortierella parvispora tRNA
Rfam family: tRNA
About the family: Transfer RNA (tRNA) molecules are approximately 80 nucleotides in length.
Source: Rfam by way of RNAcentral
CGGGUCGAAGCCAAAUUGGUCAGGCACCUAAAUUGGGUUUAGGCACUAGAAAGUUCAAAUCUUUCCGACCCGA